AUCCAGCGAACUUUCCAGAGAUGGAUUGGUGCCUUCGGGAACGCUGAGACAGGUGCUGCAUGGCUGUCGUCAGCUCGUGUUGUGAAAUGUUGGGUUAAGUCCCGNAACGAGCGCAACCCUUAUCCUUUGUUGCCAGCGAUUCGGUCGGGAACUCAAAGGAGACUGCCGGUGAUAAACCGGAGGAAGGUGGGGAUGACGUCAAGUCAUCAUGGCCCUUACGAGUAGGGCUACACACGUGCUACAAUGGCGCAUACAAAGAGAAGCGACCUCGCGAGAGCAAGCGGACCUCAUAAAGUGCGUCGUAGCCCGGAUCGGAGUCUGCAACUCGACUCCGUGAAGUCGGAAUCGCUAGUAAUCGUGGAUCAGAAUGCCACGGUGAAUACGUUCCCGGGCCUUGUACACACCGCCCGUCACACCAUGGGAGUGGGUUGCAAAAGAAGUAGGUAGCUUAACCUUCGGGAGGGCGCUUACCACUUUGUGAUUCAUGACUGGGGUGAAGUCGUAACAAGGUAGGCGUAGCGAG
Molecule: ribosomal RNA, 523 nt
Filed under: uncultured bacterium
Lineage: Bacteria
Description: bacterial SSU rRNA
Rfam family: Bacterial small subunit ribosomal RNA
Source: RNAcentral